UAUAACCCUGUUGCUAUUCUUCUGUCCUAUACCGAUGUCCACAGCAAGUAACUCAGCUCCCCUGGCACUUCCUACCCCGUUUAUUCUUUCCUGCAUGAUCCAGGUUUAUCAUUCUACAUCCCAUCCCCUCUUCUUAAAGAAAAAAUGAUUGUGUGAAGGUCAUAAUAGCAUUUAUGUUUCCAGAAUGCACAGUUUAGGAGUCCAUUUUAAGCAUUUUCUAAAUCCAGUCAUAGUAGUAAUUAUUCUCUCAGGGCAAAGACUCCUAAUUCCCACUUUUUCCAAGGAGGAAAAGCAAGGUGCCGCACUCCUCGUGGUGAGUUUUUGAUAUUCUGAUAUUUUUUUUCUUUUCCAAUAAGCUU
Molecule: long non-coding RNA, 359 nt
Filed under: Numida meleagris (helmeted guineafowl)
Lineage: Eukaryota; Metazoa; Chordata; Aves; Galliformes; Numididae
Description: lncRNA (ENSNMEG00000009926.1)
Source: RNAcentral